GUUAGGAAUAUUGGACAAUGGGCGAAAGCCUGAUCCAGCCAUGCCGCGUGAACGAUGAAGGCCUUCGGGUUGUAAAGUUCUUUAGCCGAUGAUUAUAAUGACUGUAGUCGGAAAAUAAGCCCCGGCUAACUUCGUGCCAGCAGCCGCGGUAAUACGAAGGGGCGAGCGUUAUUCGGAAUCACUGGGCGUAAAGCGUGCGUAGGCGGUUUUGUAAGUUAGGAGUGAAAGCCCAGGGCUCAACCUUGGAAUUGCUCUUAAAACUGCAAGGCUCGAAUCUCGGAGAGGAUAGCGGAAUUUCCAGUGUAGCAGUGAAAUGCGUAGAUAUUGGAAGGAACACCAGUGGCGUAAGCGGCUAUCUGGACGAGUAUUGACGCUGAGGCACGAAAGCGUGGGGAUCAAACAGGAUUAGAAACCCUUGUAGUCC
RNAcentral lists this ribosomal RNA (424 nucleotides) under uncultured bacterium. RNAcentral describes it as "partial 16S ribosomal RNA". It matches the Rfam family "Bacterial small subunit ribosomal RNA", at positions 354 to 796 of the family's 1533-position model. The record is from RNAcentral.